Molecule: ribosomal RNA, 2902 nt
Filed under: human gut metagenome
Description: bacterial LSU rRNA
Rfam family: Bacterial large subunit ribosomal RNA
Source: RNAcentral
UUAAGCGACUAAGCGUACACGGUGGAUGCCCUGGCAGUCAGAGGCGAUGAAGGACGUGCUAAUCUGCGAUAAGCGUCGGUAAGGUGAUAUGAACCGUUAUAACCGGCGAUUUCCGAAUGGGGAAACCCAGUGUGAUUCGUCACACUAUCAUUAACUGAAUCCAUAGGUUAAUGAGGCGAACCGGGGGAACUGAAACAUCUAAGUACCCCGAGGAAAAGAAAUCAACCGAGAUUCCCCCAGUAGCGGCGAGCGAACGGGGAGCAGCCCAGAGCCUGAAUCAGUGUGUGUGUUAGUGGAAGCGUCUGGAAAGGCGCGCGAUACAGGGUGACAGCCCCGUACACAAAAAUGCACAUACUGUGAGCUCGAUGAGUAGGGCGGGACACGUGGUAUCCUGUCUGAAUAUGGGGGGACCAUCCUCCAAGGCUAAAUACUCCUGACUGACCGAUAGUGAACCAGUACCGUGAGGGAAAGGCGAAAAGAACCCCGGCGAGGGGAGUGAAAAAGAACCUGAAACCGUGUACGUACAAGCAGUGGGAGCCUCUUUAUGGGGUGACUGCGUACCUUUUGUAUAAUGGGUCAGCGACUUAUAUUCUGUAGCAAGGUUAACCGAAUAGGGGAGCCGAAGGGAAACCGAGUCUUAACUGGGCGUUAAGUUGCAGGGUAUAGACCCGAAACCCGGUGAUCUAGCCAUGGGCAGGUUGAAGGUUGGGUAACACUAACUGGAGGACCGAACCGACUAAUGUUGAAAAAUUAGCGGAUGACUUGUGGCUGGGGGUGAAAGGCCAAUCAAACCGGGAGAUAGCUGGUUCUCCCCGAAAGCUAUUUAGGUAGCGCCUCGUGAAUUCAUCUCCGGGGGUAGAGCACUGUUUCGGCAAGGGGGUCAUCCCGACUUACCAACCCGAUGCAAACUGCGAAUACCGGAGAAUGUUAUCACGGGAGACACACGGCGGGUGCUAACGUCCGUCGUGAAGAGGGAAACAACCCAGACCGCCAGCUAAGGUCCCAAAGUCAUGGUUAAGUGGGAAACGAUGUGGGAAGGCCCAGACAGCCAGGAUGUUGGCUUAGAAGCAGCCAUCAUUUAAAGAAAGCGUAAUAGCUCACUGGUCGAGUCGGCCUGCGCGGAAGAUGUAACGGGGCUAAACCAUGCACCGAAGCUGCGGCAGCGACACUAUGUGUUGUUGGGUAGGGGAGCGUUCUGUAAGCCUGUGAAGGUGUGCUGUGAGGUAUGCUGGAGGUAUCAGAAGUGCGAAUGCUGACAUAAGUAACGAUAAAGCGGGUGAAAAGCCCGCUCGCCGGAAGACCAAGGGUUCCUGUCCAACGUUAAUCGGGGCAGGGUGAGUCGACCCCUAAGGCGAGGCCGAAAGGCGUAGUCGAUGGGAAACAGGUUAAUAUUCCUGUACUUGGUGUUACUGCGAAGGGGGGACGGAGAAGGCUAUGUUGGCCGGGCGACGGUUGUCCCGGUUUAAGCGUGUAGGCUGGUUUUCCAGGCAAAUCCGGAAAAUCAAGGCUGAGGCGUGAUGACGAGGCACUACGGUGCUGAAGCAACAAAUGCCCUGCUUCCAGGAAAAGCCUCUAAGCAUCAGGUAACAUCAAAUCGUACCCCAAACCGACACAGGUGGUCAGGUAGAGAAUACCAAGGCGCUUGAGAGAACUCGGGUGAAGGAACUAGGCAAAAUGGUGCCGUAACUUCGGGAGAAGGCACGCUGAUAUGUAGGUGAAGUCCCUUGCGGAUGGAGCUGAAAUCAGUCGAAGAUACCAGCUGGCUGCAACUGUUUAUUAAAAACACAGCACUGUGCAAACACGAAAGUGGACGUAUACGGUGUGACGCCUGCCCGGUGCCGGAAGGUUAAUUGAUGGGGUUAGCGGUAACGCGAAGCUCUUGAUCGAAGCCCCGGUAAACGGCGGCCGUAACUAUAACGGUCCUAAGGUAGCGAAAUUCCUUGUCGGGUAAGUUCCGACCUGCACGAAUGGCGUAAUGAUGGCCAGGCUGUCUCCACCCGAGACUCAGUGAAAUUGAACUCGCUGUGAAGAUGCAGUGUACCCGCGGCAAGACGGAAAGACCCCGUGAACCUUUACUAUAGCUUGACACUGAACAUUGAGCCUUGAUGUGUAGGAUAGGUGGGAGGCUUUGAAGUGUGGACGCCAGUCUGCAUGGAGCCGACCUUGAAAUACCACCCUUUAAUGUUUGAUGUUCUAACGUUGGCCCCUGAUCGGGGUUGCGGACAGUGUCUGGUGGGUAGUUUGACUGGGGCGGUCUCCUCCUAAAGAGUAACGGAGGAGCACGAAGGUUGGCUAAUCCUGGUCGGACAUCAGGAGGUUAGUGCAAUGGCAUAAGCCAGCUUGACUGCGAGCGUGACGGCGCGAGCAGGUGCGAAAGCAGGUCAUAGUGAUCCGGUGGUUCUGAAUGGAAGGGCCAUCGCUCAACGGAUAAAAGGUACUCCGGGGAUAACAGGCUGAUACCGCCCAAGAGUUCAUAUCGACGGCGGGGUUUGGCACCUCGAUGUCGGCUCAUCACAUCCUGGGGCUGAAGUAGGUCCCAAGGGUAUGGCUGUUCGCCAUUUAAAGUGGUACGCGAGCUGGGUUUAGAACGUCGUGAGACAGUUCGGUCCCUAUCUGCCGUGGGCGCUGGAGAACUGAGGGGGGCUGCUCCUAGUACGAGAGGACCGGAGUGGACGCAUCACUGGUGUUCGGGUUGUCAUGCCAAUGGCACUGCCCGGUAGCUAAAUGCGGAAGAGAUAAGUGCUGAAAGCAUCUAAGCACGAAACUUGCCCCGAGAUGAGUUCUCCCUGACUCCUUGAGAGUCCUGAAGGAACGUUGAAGACGACGACGUUGAUAGGCCGGGUGUGUAAGCGCAGCGAUGCGUUGAGCUAACCGGUACUAAUGAACCGUGAGGCUUAACCUU